RNAcentral lists this ribosomal RNA (808 nucleotides) under uncultured bacterium. RNAcentral describes it as "bacterial SSU rRNA". It matches the Rfam family "Bacterial small subunit ribosomal RNA", at positions 661 to 1483 of the family's 1533-position model. The record is from RNAcentral.
GCGGAAUGUGUCAUGUAGCGGUGAAAUGCUUAGAUAUGACACAGAACACCGAUCGCGAAGGCAGCUUACCAAGCAAUAACUGACGCUCAUGCACGAAAGCGUGGGGAUCAAACAGGAUUAGAUACCCUGGUAGUCCACGCCGUAAACGAUGAUCACUCGAUGUUGGCGAUACACAGUCAGCAUCUUAGGGAAACUAUUAAGUGAUCCACCUGGGGAGUACGGUCGCAAGAUUGAAACUCAAAGGAAUUGACGGGGGCCCGCACAAGCGGAGGAGCAUGUGGUUUAAUUCGAUGAUACGCGAGGAACCUUACCUGGGCUCGAACGUGGAAUGACAGUUGCGGAAACGUGAUUUUCUUCGGACAUUCUACGAGGUGCUGCAUGGUUGUCGUCAGCUCGUGCCGUGAGGUGUCGGGUUAAGUCCCAUAACGAGCGCAACCCCUAUCUUUAGUUGCCAUCAGGUCAAGCUGGGGACUCUAAAGAAACUGCCUACGCAAGUAGUGAGGAAGGCGGGGAUGACGUCAAAUCAGCACGGCCCUUACGUCCAGGGCUACACACGUGCUACAAUGGCCGGUACAGAGGGCAGCUACUGGGUGACCAGAUGCAAAUCUCCAAAGCCGGUCUCAGUUCGGAUCGAAGUCUGAAACUCGACUUCGUGAAGUUGGAUUCGCUAGUAAUCGCGCAUCAGCCAUGGCGCGGUGAAUACGUUCCCGGGCCUUGUACACACCGCCCGUCAAGCCAUGGAAGCUUGGGGUACCUGAAGUCCGUGACCGAAAGGAGCGGCCUAGGGUAAAACAGGUAACUAGGGCUA